GAUGAACGCUGGCGGCGUGCCUAAUACAUGCAAGUCGAGCGAACGGACGCGAAGCUUGCUUCUCUGCAGUUAGCGGCGGACGGGUGAGUAACACGUGGAUAACCUCCCUCUAUGACUGGGUUAACUUCGGUAAACCCGUGCUAAUACCGGAUGAUCUUUUGAACCGCAUGGUUCAACAGUGAAAGACGGUCUUGCUGUCACUUAUAGAUGGAUCCGCGCUGCAUUAGCUAGUUGGUAAGGUAACGGCUUACCAAGCCAACGAUGGACAGCCCACCUGAUCGGAGGAUCGGCCACACUCGAACUGAGACACGGUCCCCACUCCUACGGCAGGCAGCAGUAGGGAACCUUCCGCAAUAGGCGAAUGCCUUACGGAGCAACGCCGCGUGAGUUAGGAAGUCCUUCGGAUCGUAAAACUCUGUUAUUAGGGAAGAACAUAUGUGUAAGUAACUGUGCACAUCUUGGCGUUACCUAACCAGAAAACCACGGCUAGCUACCUG
This 497-nucleotide ribosomal RNA is filed under the name uncultured bacterium. RNAcentral's name for it is "partial 16S ribosomal RNA". It matches the Rfam family "Bacterial small subunit ribosomal RNA", at positions 28 to 507 of the family's 1533-position model. The record is from RNAcentral.